Molecule: ribosomal RNA, 253 nt
Filed under: uncultured bacterium
Lineage: Bacteria
Description: partial 16S ribosomal RNA
Rfam family: Bacterial small subunit ribosomal RNA
Source: RNAcentral
UACGAAGGGGGCGAGCGUUGUUCGGAUUUACUGGGCGUAAAGGGCGCGCAGGCGGCCAUUCAAGUCAGGCGUGAAAGCCCCGGGCUCAACCUGGGAACCGCGCUUGAGACUGGUGCGCUAGAGUCCGGGAGAGGAUGGUGGAAUUCCCAGUGUAGAGGUGAAAUUCGUAGAUAUUGGGAAGAACACCGAUGGCGAAGGCAGCCAUCUGGACCGGCACUGACGCUGAGGCGCGAAAGCGUGGGGAGCAAACAGG